This 358-nucleotide ribosomal RNA is filed under the name uncultured soil bacterium. RNAcentral's name for it is "bacterial SSU rRNA". It matches the Rfam family "Bacterial small subunit ribosomal RNA", at positions 26 to 390 of the family's 1533-position model. The record is from RNAcentral.
AGAUUGAACGCUGGCGGCAUGCCUAACACAUGCAAGUCGAACGGGAGUAGCAAUACUCUAGUGGCGGACGGGUGAGGAAUACGUAGGAAUUUGCCCUUAAGUGGGGGAUAACCCGGGGAAACCCGGAUUAAUACCGCAUGACCUCGAAAGAGCAAAGUGGGGGAUCGCAAGACCUCACGCUUUUGGAGAAGCCUACGUCGGAUUAGCUAGUUGGUGAGGUAAUGGCUCACCAAGGCGACGAUCCGUAACUGGUCUGAGAGGAUGAUCAGUCACACCGGAACUGAGACACGGUCCGGACUCCGUACGGGAGGCAGCAGUGGGGAAUAGUUAGGACAAAGUGGGGCGACGAACGCCGUAG